RNAcentral lists this long non-coding RNA (1005 nucleotides) under Anser brachyrhynchus (Pink-footed goose). RNAcentral's name for it is "lncRNA (ENSABRG00000011276.1)". The record is from RNAcentral. Lineage: Eukaryota; Metazoa; Chordata; Aves; Anseriformes; Anatidae.
GUGGAAAUCUUUUGGCAUAAAUCACAAACACUGCCUCUGCUGUAGUAUGCUUACCUAAACCGUACAGUGCCUCUGAUUCUCACUGCCCUUUCUUCUCUCCUUGUUCCUCUCAUGGGCAGGAUAGAGUUGUCUGUUCAGCAUGGGGCAUUGCUCAUACAGGCAAGGGGGUGGGUCAGACGCCAUACAAAGCAGACCCAAAGCUACAUUCAGGGAUUAAAGUAAAUCCCGUGGAUUUCUCCCUCCUCCUCCCUUUCUAUGAUCUGGUAAAAUGAAGGGGCAUAAAGUAAGAGCACGCAGAGCUGGAUCAGGGGGUGUCGGUGUGUUGGCUGGAAGCAGAUGGACCUUGGAGAUUUGUUGCCAGUGGAUACAAAGAGGGAAGCACUGCAAGCUGAACAACACCUGCUGGCUUAUUUCAAGACAGGCAGUCUCAUGGGCCUGCAGGCAGCAAGUCUGUAGGACGAACUGACUUACAACUACAGGGGCAAGAAGUUUGCAUUGGUCUGCCUCUGAAAAGGACAGGGUUGGAUAUGGGACCUGUGAAGCAUCUUCUGUGACACAUGAGUUGAAGAAAAGUCCAGGAUACUGUUUGUUUGUUUGUUUGUUUGUUUAUUAAUGAGAAGCAUUAAUCUGCACCUAUGUUUGCAUGCACGUUUGCGAAAUUCUGCAAAUUAAAUAGAAAUGAAACAUUAGCUUGCCUUCGCAGCUUGUCAGUGUUAUUCUUUGUGCCUGCUGCUUUGGUAUUAUAGAUGCAACUGGAAGCCACUAGAGCUACUGCAUGGGGCUGCAGGGCUAAAAGGGGGGACUUGAGUCAUCAGAUGUAGACUCCCAUGGAGAGAGGCAGGGACCUGCUCUUUUAUCCAGAAUCCCUCAGAGAACAUUGAUGAGAUGUUGCUCCUCAAGCCCCCAGCUCCCCCCAACAAAUGACGAAUGAUCUAGGAGAAGCCAAAAGCUGGGAAGCGUGAUGUGCUCCUGGCAAAGAGGGCGAUUCUGCAGGGCCCUGCUGCC